Pezoporus flaviventris is the source of this 196-nucleotide long non-coding RNA. RefSeq lists it as uncharacterized. Lineage: Eukaryota; Metazoa; Chordata; Aves; Psittaciformes; Psittacidae. The record is from RefSeq and is a predicted model, not a curated record. The transcript has 3 exons.
GGCACUGCCGAGAGAGGCUAACAAUGCGGCUGGCAUUAAGACGCAGCCUUCCAAUGCCGAUUCCCGGUGCCUGUCCUGUGACCGGCAGCUCAACGUGAGGGUGCCUGCCUCGCCCGUCGUGCCCAUCCCACCCGCGCCACGGCUGACCUCCCGCGUCACUGAGAAAAUUCCUCGUUCCCUCAAACCAGGGGAAAGC